CAUCCUCCUUUCCUUUCGAACCUCCUCUUCUGUUGAUCGUCAACGUUGAAACGACGGGCAUGACUGGUGCCUAGUAGCCUUUUCCCAAGUUCCAUUUUCAAUUCAUACCUUGUUAAAUAUAGUCAAAACAAGGACCAAGCAGACCAGCACGACCGACACCAAGCUCUUUCGCCCCCUAGUUGCACCUCCAAACGCACGACGCCUCCCCUACAGUUCUCCGACUUCGCAUUUUCUCUGACAGGAAUUGCCCACUCCGGGCUUAUCCGAAUGGCUGGGCUUCCUGUUAUACGCCACCCUAGAGCCUGAAUCAGGACCUCUUGCCGUGGUUUUCAGUAUGGUAGGGAGCCGGUUGUCCUGGUGACGACACAGCCCAGCGAGAAAUUGUGUUUUCGGAACUUAACCCUAAGUUCAACUCUGGUUUAUUCAAGCUUUGCAUCUUUCGUCUGUUUGAGGCCGCUGUUAAUUUCAUUCGAGCUGCCUUUACGCGCCGCCGCUGAAAAGCGGUCCCGCGUUCUGGCCUCGUUGGGCCGGGCGUGCUCGAAGGGAUGACCGGUAGCUGAGAGCAACCAGUCACUCUAAGUGUGUAAAGGGACGAGCCACUGAGUCACAACACGGUAAGAUCCUCUGGUCUGAGGGCGCUUACUGGCUCCGUCCCGCUGGUAUUUGACGUUCGGCCCAAAUAGGACUGUUCUAGGGAGACGAGACAUCUCGAGUAGCUCGGAGAGUGUUGGCUAAUGCGCAUCCGUCCGAGAUCCAAACCUGCCUAUUCGGUCUAUGUGCCCUCUGCAUACAAACUGUGUUUGGUGUGCGGCCGAGGAAAACGGGAAGGGUGCGGCUCGGCUACACGCAGUCAGGAGUCGCUCGUUUCAACGCCGGUGCAAGGGACUGCCCUCGCCCGAAUCGCUAGAUCUUUACCGUGUAUAACCUAAUUUUGUCUAGCGAGCGAGGAGUCCCUCAGCUACAAACGGAAACGGCUCCCCCCUCCUGACUCGUAGCUUCGUUGCUACUAUUCCUGCCUGUGCGACGCCCUCAGCACCCGGAAUCCUCCGACACAAUCUCGGAAGCCUAAAUGGCGGAUGCGCAUUUCCCUCACGGACCGUUCAACCGAGACGACCGCACCUAGGACCCGACCUGUGACAAUAUCGCGGUCGUGUCAUGCUUGCAUGUGGUCCGGCCGGGUGCAUUAACCUGCGGCUCACCGGCGCUGUCCUGUGAAGCCGGAGGGCGCCAGAAAACGGACCCUUUCAGGGACACCUUCCUCUAUUGCACCGGCGACAGAGAUGAUAGCACGGUUUUUGCCAGACGUUUUUGUCCGUGCGGAACCCGCCCUCUACAUGCUCUCCUCGAGACUUGGAUGGAGAGGAAACAACAAACGUCUCAGUUGGCACUGCGGACAUACGGAAAGAGCUUCGGUCGGCCUUGCAGCUACUUGAUACCCGCGUUUGGCUAUGGAGCUGGGUAGCAAUGCAACCAUGACGGUUAUGACUUAUUCAUGGCAUCAUCGUCCGGUUUCGGCCAAGUGAGAAGAGUCCUUUGACCUGGGACGGUCUCGACCUUACUGAAACAGAGUUUCGCGCCGAAUGAACGAGUGAAACAGCAUUCAGGAACCCGAUUAAAGAUCGGUGUUUUAAAGCUUCGUGCUUUGCCAGGAUCUGCGAAUCGCUCAAUCUGCAGGGCUCAAAAAUCAGUCUAGGACGUGGCCCAUCAGGUCCAAAAACUCAUCACCUAUUGUAGAUAAGGGCAGGCCAUGGGGUUGGUAGCCCUGGUCGCGCUUUCUCCAGAAAUGGCGAGAGCGCGGCCCUCCACAUCCUGGGG
This 1815-nucleotide telomerase RNA is filed under the name Lomentospora prolificans. RNAcentral's name for it is "Scedosporium prolificans Ascomycota telomerase RNA". It matches the Rfam family "Ascomycota telomerase RNA". The record is from Rfam by way of RNAcentral. Lineage: Eukaryota; Fungi; Ascomycota; Sordariomycetes; Microascales; Microascaceae.